RNA transcript from Triticum aestivum (bread wheat), 2639 nucleotides. RefSeq lists it as uncharacterized. The record is from RefSeq and is a predicted model, not a curated record. Lineage: Eukaryota; Viridiplantae; Streptophyta; Magnoliopsida; Poales; Poaceae. The transcript is spliced from 7 exons.
ACGAGCGAGCGAGCGAGCGAAGCCUCCAGGUCCCUUCGCUGUUGCCCUCGCACAUCAAGCCGCCGCCCUCGCCCUCGCCCUUGCAGCCGCCGCCGAUCCCCUCCCCCAUCUUCCUCCCUCAAACGCUAACCCGUCUCGCGGUGCGCCAUCGCCCGUCGCAGCCGCCCCCGCCACCUCCCGCCGCGGCCGCCACCCCAGCUCCAGCCGUGGCCGUCGCGCCCAGAUCCAGCGGCGGCUGCCGCCCCACCUCCAGCCACGACCGCCCCACCUCCAGUGGCGGCCGCCACCCCCACGUCCCACCGCGGCCGCUGCCCGCGCCAACGACCCCUUCCCCUGCCGCCGCGCCACGGGUCCACUUCGUCAUGAGCUCUAGCGCCGACCAUCCCGCCGCUGCUUGUGGUCCCCUCUUCCAUCAGCUCCACUUCACCGGAACCGAAAAUCAGCCAAGAAACACAACAAACAUAUUAGCCGCAGCUAGCUGCUAUGUGCACAUGUGCAAAAACAAACAUAUUAAUCCUUUGCCGCAGACAAUACUGAAGCACUAACACAAACAAGAUCCUUCUGAAGAUAGUCUCUGAAUGCAAAUGAUCAUGACUUAUGAAUUUGGAGCCAUGGCCCAUGUGUAGGCAAGGGCAAUGAUCCCUUUUACUACUUGAGCGGUCCAACAGAGAUUAUUGAAGGUUGUUUCUGAAGUUGUGAUUGACUGGAACCAAAGGAAAGUUGGAGACUUUUUUGGUGUGAAUUGCUUGGAUUAAGUGGGAGUGAAGAUGUUCUUUCUGUCUAUAUCUGGUUCUAUUAUUGGCAAAUUUGUGCCUUCGAGAUUGCUGCGAGUGUUUGUGUUCCCGAGCUGAAAAUUUAGAUUAUUACCAUGUUUGGUCUCCUGAAUAUAAAUCAUGAUUCUUUGCAUCUCAAUUGCAGACCAGCAGACCUUUCCGUCCUCAUAUUCCCCGGAUUCGUUUUCUGCGAUCGAGCGCCCGAGCGGUUGCAUCUCGACGGCAGUUCCCUUUACAACCGAGUUAGCUUUAUACUAUGAGCAGUGAGCAAGUCAUGUAUAAAGCAAAAACAAAGUAUUAGUCUGCUAUCAAAUGGUACAUUUAUUUGAACUCUAAGGGCAGGUUCAGGGUCUCAUGAAGAGGGCAUGUGUUUGUAUUAGAUCAGAAGGUUUUGCAGUUGACAAGCUUACAGGUUUGAGCACCCCGAACAACGGGGUGGGCCCUUUGACCUGUGGGUUUUGCUGGUACCAAGAGAAGGAGGUUCCUUUUAACCUGCAGGAGCUCUGCCAAUGGCAGCGUGCUUUCCUUGACAAUGACGUGGUACUGCACGUACGCAAGAUGCAGCGAGUGAAAUCGGCGCAAGAGGGCAUCUUGCAAGCAGCACCAAAUCCUAUAUUAUGGGACCGAGUCAAAUGUGGCUCGGUGAUAGAAUUAAGCAUGAAGGAGGAAGAUACCAGCACCAGCCCCAGCAAUAAAGACUGCGGCAACGGCGACGGCAGUGUGUCCCGGCGAGCGUGAGCAAUGGCAGCAUCAUCUCUGACUCCGAGUACCUGACCAAGACGCUGCCCAGGUCACAUGUCAAGGACUUCCUCUUGGACGAUGCCGCCUCCUUGGCUGUUGUUGUCGUCUCCUCAAAUAAGUCGUAUCAGCAGAUGGAUUUUGGAUGCAGACCAAUGUGGUUUCUUCAUAGUACUAGGGAGCCGACAAUAAAAACAUGAGAAUUCAUCACCUAUCUUAGCCACCGCAACCUGAACAAGAUUUGCCAACAUCUAGCUUAAUCCUUCUGAAUGGUUGGUAGCAGAUCUGUCCUACAAGCAGAAAUCAUCUACUUUGUGUUUGAAUUUUCUAAAUUACAGUAAAACAUGUGCAUACUUCAGUUUGCACAAAGAGCAAACCUAGACAAUCUGCUGUAGGGUCUGAGCUAUUGAAUAUACAUGUAGUAAAAAAUACUUUUCCUUUGGUCCUCUUUCAUGUUCAAGUUCCUAACGAAGCUGCCAUAUAGCGCAUUUAGGCUCUGGUCAACAAGUCGGCAGACAAGUUGCAAAUUCAAUCAACAAUGAACAUAGAAAACUGAACCCACUGUUCAUGAUCUUUAAGGAAGAAAACACACAAGAUUCGUUAUUCAAUCUUAUCAAUGACCAUGUGUAAUCUUAGGCUAUUUUGUUAUCAAUAGCUAAAAGUUGUUCACAAGCCUUGGUGUGUUUUGAUGUUUCUUGAAUGUGGAGCUGCAGGUAGAGCUGAGGAUUAAGGAUUAAGUAUAAACGUAAUGGAGCCCGUUGUAUAACAACACAGAGCCGAAGGAGAUGCUAUUUUAUUGUUGCCUUAUCUUUGUCGAUGCAGUCGAAUAUGGGUCUAUUCUGGUGCCCUGUCUUCAUCGUAGCGUGUGUAUGUAACAUGGGGGCGGCCGUGAGUAUAGAUCGUCUAGACUACUUUUUCUGGGCUACUAAAAUAUACGAAGAGACAUCAAGGUCAGAAAUCAAUUAGGGAGGCACUAACAUUAUGCCUUGAUUCAGAUGUUGUAAAAAAAUGCCUUGAUUCAGAUGGUUCCGUCGAUUUUUUGCAUUUAUUAUGGAUAAUUUGUAUUAGUUUCCUUUUGGAGUAAAAAAUGGGUUGAAAUUGAUAUAAUACAAUUUUGGUUAAACUUCA